UGCUUUUUUAUGAGAAUUUUUUUUUCAAAAUCUUACUCAUAUAUUAUGUUUCUUUGCAUUGCUCAUGAAACUAUUAAAAUUCAAUGGUAGUUUUUUCAAGGAACUUAUGUUAUUGGCAUGAAAUAGUUCUCUGUGUACUAGCGAUCUUAUUGCUGCCUGCUUGCCUGAAAAAUGGCCACAUCACACUUAUAGGUUCGUAUUAUUCAGUAUGCUCACAUACAUAAGCUGACACUUUGUUAAAGAAGCAUAGGUUUGGCUCAGUCACACCGCCUCACUUGAUUUCACCAUUUUGGUGUUAAAUAGAAAAUCCAAGCUCCAGAGCUAUGCUCCGAAGUUUGUUAGUUAUAAGGGAAUUUGUAUGGAGUUAAGCAGAAGCACAUUGGACUUUAGCAAAAUGAUUAUUCUCUACUUCUAUUAAUUCGUAGUUAACUGAUUAUAUACCCUUCCAUUGCAGGUCCAGAUUGCAACACUUUUAUGUCCGCACAUAUCAGUCUAAGCUCUACAGAUUCAGGAGGUGCUCUCGGGUCACUUUUGCGGUUUAUGCCCCCAUUAGCUUGUAUCUCCGUCAAAUAAUCCUCAUUUAGGGUUAUCAUUCACUUCAUUUGGAUUAUUAAGAGGUCUUACCAUUUCAUGUUUUUUUUUUGCUUGGUGAGGUUUGCCAUCGAAUGAUGAAAUGCAUAUCCAAAGAUAAGGUAAAGAAUAGAUCUAUGUAGUAAAUAUAGAGGUACCUUGUUUUUUAUAUGCACGAAGCUCCCAUCGCAAUACUGAAGUUUAUAAUUCAAGUUUGAUCUAUAUAGAAAGUCUAUUAGUAACCCUGGGUGAAGAUUAAGUAAUUCUUCACCCCGGUCCAGACAACGAGCCGGACUCCCCGAUCGCACCACCCUGGGUCUACCGGUCGUCUCCAUACUGAUGUAAAAUUUUAUCCCGUGUGAUGUAAUUUUACGUGAAGUCAAGAGCCCACUCCGUCCCUGAUAAAGAAAAAAAAACAAGGCCACACCCGAGAUGAAAAAAAAGAGCGAACUCCCUCGUCCAAUUCUAAUCAGGGGCGAGUAAUAAUCUGAAAAAAGAAAAAAAAACCAAGGGCGGCGUGGACGAGGGGUGCGAGCUCCGAGCGGCGGUUGGGCUCCGGCGUCGUGAUGCUCCACGGCGUUGGGAGCGGCGCGUGGGAUCGGCGUCUCUGCAGGGUGGUCUUAGUUUCGGGCAACGCGGCGGGCCGAGCCGUCGUGUUGCGACGUCCGUAGUGCUUGGCGUCAGGGCUGCAUCUCCCGUGUGGACGGCGCCUCGUCGGCAGAGUCGCCGGCGACGAACACUCGGCCGAAGACGGGACCACGCCAUGAACCAGGGUUUAGCGGCGUACUCGGCUGGACGACGAGCUGGUCGUGGUUGGGCGGCGCGGCGAGUCGUGUCGUGUCUGCUUCUUGAAGAGGGUACAGUGGUGGUUGGCAUUCUACUUGAUGUGGGCGGUAUCUCCUCCUACGACAACGGUCGGCAACUAGCUGUUUGCAGCCGGAAUUCUUCAGUAUCGACCACUCUCCGUCAUUUUACAUGAAGGGAGUACAUGUCAUGGUUGAUGGAAGAGCGUUCGGUUCAGCCAUAUGGCGUGUACAUGUUGCCUAACAAGUUUGUUUUCUCAAUACAGAAGCUGUACAAUUAUAUGAAACUGAAAAUAUUUAGUUUUCUGGCCAUAACUCUGAAUUUUUAUUGACUUGUUGCUUCUUUAUGUGCUCAAUUUUUGGUUGCUACUAGCUUGCUGUAAUAUAGACUGUUGACUUGGACGAUAUAAUUUAUCAUGUUCCUUAAAAAAAAUUAUGUACAAUUUCUUCUCAUGGAUGUUAAUUAUCAUGUCAAGCUUUAAGCUCACACUCUUGGAGAUUUUUUGUUUACGAGGAGAAAUCAGAGAUUUGAGGUUCCUUUUGCUAUUGUAUAAUUCUCUCAUUUUGAUCAUUAACAUAAUUCGAUUAGUUUUUUAUCUCAUCGGUCUACGACAUCAGUCGGAUUCAGAAAUUACGCUGUGUAAAACCCAUGUGUUUUGUAGUCUUUUUUUUACGUUCCUUUUUGUCGUAAAAUUACAUCAAUAGCAUCUGGUUUCUUACAGCGAUUACCCUGGUUCAGUUCCUCACACAUCCACAACGUAACGUGCCUUGCAUGCACAUCGUAAGAUUACCUCAGAAGCCCUUUCUUACGGUGGUUCAAGGCGUGUGCUCGUGGGUGUGGCAUGUGGUUCGGCUGUGAGGAACCCGACCUUCGGGCUAUCUUCGCAACUGUGUCUCCUCGCGCGAAUUAUUCUGGUUAGUUGUGUUUUAUAUGAUGUUAGUGUAAUCUAGAAACAUUUUUUACCAACUAAAUACCCGUUUUAAAUAGGAAUCUCGCUCGUUGACGGAUUUUGCUCUCGGGUCGUGAUGAAAUUGCGU
Molecule: long non-coding RNA, 2411 nt
Organism: Aegilops tauschii subsp. strangulata
Lineage: Eukaryota; Viridiplantae; Streptophyta; Magnoliopsida; Poales; Poaceae
Source: RefSeq, a predicted model, not a curated record